RNAcentral lists this ribosomal RNA (1372 nucleotides) under uncultured bacterium. RNAcentral's name for it is "bacterial SSU rRNA". It matches the Rfam family "Bacterial small subunit ribosomal RNA", at positions 28 to 1381 of the family's 1533-position model. The record is from RNAcentral.
GAUGAACGCUGGCGGCGUGCCUAAUACAUGCAAGUCGAGCGAACGGACGAGAAGCUUGCUUCUCUGAUGUUAGCGGCGGACGGGUGAGUAACACGUGGAUAACCUACCUAUAAGACUGGGAUAACUUCGGGAAACCGGAGCUAAUACCGGAUAAUAUUUUGAACCGCAUGGUUCAAAAGUGAAAGACGGUCUUGCUGUCACUUAUAGAUGGAUCCGCGCUGCAUUAGCUAGUUGGUAAGGUAACGGCUUACCAAGGCAACGAUGCAUAGCCGACCUGAGAGGGUGAUCGGCCACACUGGAACUGAGACACGGUCCAGACUCCUACGGGAGGCAGCAGUAGGGAAUCUUCCGCAAUGGGCGAAAGCCUGACGGAGCAACGCCGCGUGAGUGAUGAAGGUCUUCGGAUCGUAAAACUCUGUUAUUAGGGAAGAACAUAUGUGUAAGUAACUGUGCACAUCUUGACGGUACCUAAUCAGAAAGCCACGGCUAACUACGUGCCAGCAGCCGCGGUAAUACGUAGGUGGCAAGCGUUAUCCGGAAUUAUUGGGCGUAAAGCGCGCGUAGGCGGUUUUUUAAGUCUGAUGUGAAAGCCCACGGCUCAACCGUGGAGGGUCAUUGGAAACUGGAAAACUUGAGUGCAGAAGAGGAAAGUGGAAUUCCAUGUGUAGCGGUGAAAUGCGCAGAGAUAUGGAGGAACACCAGUGGCGAAGGCGACUUUCUGGUCUGUAACUGACGCUGAUGUGCGAAAGCGUGGGGAUCAAACAGGAUUAGAUACCCUGGUAGUCCACGCCGUAAACGAUGAGUGCUAAGUGUUAGGGGGUUUCCGCCCCUUAGUGCUGCAGCUAACGCAUUAAGCACUCCGCCUGGGGAGUACGACCGCAAGGUUGAAACUCAAAGGAAUUGACGGGGACCCGCACAAGCGGUGGAGCAUGUGGUUUAAUUCGAAGCAACGCGAAGAACCUUACCAAAUCUUGACAUCCUUUGACAACUCUAGAGAUAGAGCCUUCCCCUUCGGGGGACAAAGUGACAGGUGGUGCAUGGUUGUCGUCAGCUCGUGUCGUGGGAUGUUGGGUUAAGUCCCGCAACGAGCGCAACCCUUAAGCUUAGUUGCCAUCAUUAAGUUGGGCACUCUAAGUUGACUGCCGGUGACAAACCGGAGGAAGGUGGGGAUGACGUCGAAUCAUCAUGCCCCUUAUGAUUUGGGCUACACACGUGCUACAAUGGACAAUACAAAGGGCAGCGAAACCGCGAGGUCAAGCAAAUCCCAUAAAGUUGUUCUCAGUUCGGAUUGUAGUCUGCAACUCGACUACAUGAAGCUGGAAUCGCUAGUAAUCGUAGAUCAGCAUGCUACGGUGAAUACGUUCCCGGGUCU